Molecule: ribosomal RNA, 1140 nt
Filed under: uncultured Polycystinea
Lineage: Eukaryota; Polycystinea
Description: SSU rRNA
Rfam family: Eukaryotic small subunit ribosomal RNA
Source: RNAcentral
ACCUGGUUGAUCCUGCCAGUAGUCAUAUGCUUGUCUUAAAGAUUAAGCCAUGCAUGUCUAAGUAUAAGCAUUUAUACCGCGAGACUGCGAACGGCUCAUUAAAACAGUUAUGGUUUAUUUGAUGGUUCCUUUGCUACUUGGAUAACCGUAGUAAUUCUAGAGCUAAUACAUGCACGAAGGGGCGACUCACGAAGCCCUGUAUUUAUUAGAUUAAAGCCAACCACCUCCGGGUGUUCGUGGUGAAUCAUAGUAACUUCUCGGAUCGCCGGCUCUACGCCAGCGACGUGUCAUUCAAAUUUCUGCCCUAUCAGCUUUAGAUGGUAGGAUAUGGGCCUACCAUGGCGGUGGCGGGUAACGGAGAAUUAGGGUUCGAUUCCGGAGAGGGAGCCUGAGAAACGGCUACCACUUCUAAGGAAGGCAGCAGGCGCGCAAAUUACCCAAUCCUGACUCAGGGAGGUAGUGACAAGAAAUAACAAUAAACCGGCUUAUGCCGGUUUAAUUGGAAUGAGUACAAUUUAAACAUCUUAACGAGGAACAAUUGGAGGGCAAGUCUGGUGCCAGCAGCCGCGGUAAUUCCAGCUCCAAUAGCGUAUACUAAAGUUGUUGCAGUUAAAAAGCUCGUAGUUGGAUUUCUGCGGGGGCGGGGCGGCCGACCACAACUCGUGGUUCGAGCUAGCACUUCCCCUGCAUCCUGCCGCGAACCGUGCUACCAUUAGUUUGGUGGCGCUGGGGAUCGGCUCGUUUACUUUGAGAAAAAUAGAGUGUUCAGAGCAGGCCACACGCCUUGAAUAAGUUAGCAUGGAAUAAUGAUAAAGGACUUCGGUUCUAUUUUGUUGGUGUUCGGGACUGAAGUAAUGAUUGAUAGGGACAGUUGGGGCGGUCAGUAUUCCAAAGCGAGAGGUGAAAUUCUUAGACCUUCGGAAGACUAACAGCUGCGAAAGCGUUCCGCAAGGAUGUUCCCUUUGAUCAAGAACGAAAGUUGGGGGAUCGAAGACGAUCAGAUACCGUCAUAGUCUCAACUAUAAACUAUACCAGCUAGGGAUCGGCCAACGUUUACUUAUAUCGACUUGGUCGGCACCUUAUGAGAAAUCAAAGCAUCUGGGUUCCGGGGGGAGUAUGGUCGCAAGGCUGAAACUUAAA